GCCUUACAUCACCAAGCACAGUGCAAGAAUGACCCUGGUCUGAAUGCCUCCUAACUUGGACUCAACAAAGAAUAGAUCCUAAUUAACUCCUAUGAGUUCCCUAAAACAGUGCUACCCUUCAUUCAACUUUUCUAAUCUUGCUGUCUUUACCCAUUUUUAUUUUUCAGGAUUUGUAGGAUGUGUGGAGUUCGUCAAACUCAAUGGACAGAUUUUACCUUUCAGCGGCCACAGUGAAAUGGUUGAGGCCAAACCCAGUCCUUUACUCUUCGAGAAAGACUGUGUGUCUGCAGAUGACUGUGCUCUGACCCCUUGCUUUAAGGAAUCCUGUCUUGCUCCGUCUUGUCUCAGUGGCAGUGAUUGUAUUGUGUCUCCCUCAGAGGACAGCUGGUGCACCUGUCUACAUAAUGUCUCUGCUUCAUUGUGUGGGACAUGUUCGUCUGCUAGUGAGCACAGAGAUGCUUGUGUCCAGGCCCAAAAAAGCCCACCUUUGUGGAUCAUCGCUGUUGUAGUUCCCCUAACCCUCAUUCUGUUAAUUGUUAUCCUUUGCUUUGUCCUGAGGAGGCAGGGAAAACAUAGGCAUACAAAACACAAGAGUCAGACAUGCCAUGCACUUUCAACUAAACAGUAUGGCAUGGACAAUGUGGCAUUCAGUCUGGACCAUGGUGAUGGUGGUCCCCAGGAUGGUUCCAAUGAAAGCAGCAAGCAGCCUGAUCUGAUAAUGCCAGGGAAGUUGAUUAGGGGAGUUGAGAGUUGUAGCGAAGGUGGUCUAUCUAGUCAUCUAACAGGGUUUGGAGGAAGUGAACUGGAGUACUAUGAGAUUGACAGCACAUAUACAGUGUGCUCCUCUAAUAUAGAGCAAGUAAAGCAAGAUGGUUGUGACAUUAACUCCCUUAGUUUUGUACCGUGGGAAAAAGGAACGAAGGGAACAUCUACACAAAGAGCGAGCCCUCAAGUUUCUCCAUCCAUGUGUGAAAGAGGAAAGCAAGAACCCACAAAGCCACAGCCCCAAGCCUAUCCUGAACCCUCUGAUCUCAGGAACUGUAAACCUCACACCAAAAGAAGUGGGGGUGGUGUAGAUGAUGGUCAGUACAGGGUCUGUAAAACUCACUUGCUCUCCAAGAAAAAGCUGAGCCCUGAACUGGUAGAUCCCCCUUGUUUUCUCACAGAAGAUGAGGUUAAGAGACUAGAUCAAAUACGAGACACUCCAGGACCACCCAAAAACCCUCCCAGACCCUUCAAUACAGCCAGGAUGGCAGAGAGCUCAUCAGAGAGCGAAAGUCACAGCUCUUUCACUUGCUCAGAAUAUGACUGUGAGAGGGAACUCUGCUGCAUCUGUUCACAGGACAACAGGCAUGGUCAUGCGACUGAAGAUUUGUCCAGAGGACAGCUCAUAUUAGCUGUCCCCUCACCCUUCAGAGAUGUUCAGACUCCUUCCGGUACAGCUGGAUGUGGAACCGUCCAGCAGUGGGAGAGCCUCUUAAAUCAAAGGAUCCACUUUAAUACCUACUCAGACGUUUUUGAGGACAUUGCAAGCCUGCCUGUCAUUCAGGCCUAUGACUGUGACACUCACAGUGAAGAAGAGCAGAUUAUUUGAAAAAGUUAAGGCUUUAAAGCUCUCUACACACUGUAACUGUUUUCAUUUACUUUACCUUUUUCAGAGGCUAUGAGGCAGAUUACUUAUGACACACAGAAAGUAAAGUGUGUAGUGUUUGCACCAGAACACAUUUACUAUAAGGUCAUCAAUACAGAUGCUAUAAUUACACUUUGGAAAUGAUUGAAUGGCUAGGAAAAGGUUCUUUUGAUGGUCAUUGGUGGGUGUGCAGUGCCAUCUGCUGGCAGGGCUCUAAUAGUACACCUGAUUGCUUCCCCCGCUUUAAAAGGCUGUGCGUUAGGAUCAUGUGUUAGUUCUUAACUAUAAAAUCAAUAUUGUAUGGAAGUGCAGCUGUUCACUUCCAGGUCUUGUAUUUUAAUCCUGCUGUACUUAUGUAAAAUAUGUAAAAUAUCCCAUACUUCACUUUAAAGUACACAGAAAUAAAGACUAUAGAAAAAGAACACAUUGCUGCUGUCAGAAGAAAACCUCGUAUCUCAAAUUUUGUCAUUUUUCAGUUUUUGGCAUAAUUUGAAGAUGGCUUCUGCUCUUAACAAUGUGUGUAUAAUGAAUUGAACAAAACAAAUGACCUAAAAUGUCUGGUUCCAUUGGCUUACAUUGUCUUAAAGUAAAGUAAGUUUUUUCCUUGUACUUUAAAGUUACUAUUGAGGAGAUACAAGGUCUUCCAAACAACAGUGAUAUACAGCUGUAUUAAAAAAGAAUACAACAUAGUCCCUCACACUGAAAAAAGCAAACGUAUAUUAUAUAUACUUUGAUACCUCGUGCGAGCCAGUAAAAAUGAAAAUGAUACAAAACUGUUUCAUUGUCUUUUAAUAGCUAGUUCUGUAACUGUCUUCAAAUUUCCAUAAAACAAAGUAUUCUGGGACAAUACUGGAAUAAUAAAAUACUUUAUUAAAACACUGAUCUAAGCACAUUUGCAGUUGUACAGAAGUAUAGAAAAGGAAAACAAACACAUACUGAUUCAUUUUAUACUGUUUACAGCAGAGCUUAACUGCAUUUUUAGUACCACUUUAGAAGAAGACCGCCUUAAAAAUCAUUAAUAAAUAGUUACAACACAUGAAUAAAAAGGGCAACAGUGGCCUGAUGUUUGCCUGAAUGUAAACCCACUUUCAUUUAUACAGUUAUACCUCAGACUUUUCUAGUCAUUGAUCUUACUUUGUAUUCUUCAUGAAUCGGUAUUAAACCUUUCAGCUUCAUCAGAUAUUCAUAUUUAUCUAACUUUAUAUAACUGGUCAUUUUGCUCUUUUUGUUAAUGUGCUAUAACUUUGUUAAUGCCAUCAAUAAACUUUGAACAUACUCUUACAAUAUAUAUAGAAUGAUCUAAACACAUAAACCAUAUGUGUUUAGUUCUGUUGAGACUUUCAGUUGUAGUGUUUUUUUUUGGGGGGGGGGUGUUAAUUAUCAUAUAUUAAAAUUAAGAUUUUUUUUUUGUUCUCUGAUAUGCAGUUGCAUGGAAAAGUUUGUGCACCCCUGGUCAAAUAUCAUGUUUUAUUGAUUUUCUAAGUAAAACACGUCACUUGGACACAUCCAUGUAAAAAUGGCAUUUGUCAGCUAAUUUAAUUGCAUAAUUGCUAUUUAUUUGUCAAUUUUAACAUAUUAGAAAAAGUAUAAAAUGUGUCAUGGCCUUUGUGCAGGCCAGAUUUUAUGUUAGCUUCUUAUUUUUCAUUAUAUAAAUUCAGCAAUAAACAGCAAUGCAAUGCUAAUGCAAACAGAGUGCUUUAAAGAGUGCAAAAGUGUGUUCUCUGUUGGGGGUGUGUUAACUUAAUUUCACUUAGUAAAUUUACAAAACCUUGGAAUUUGACCAGGGUCAUACACAAUUAUGUACUUUUCUGUUUUUCAACUGCAGAAUCAAUAUGUGCACAAGAAAAACCCCUCAGUGCAGAAAACGCAGCUUUAUUCAUUCGUUCGAGCUUUGAAACUGGUGGAUCUCCCAAACUGCAUUUGGUGUUUUUUUCUUUUCUUGAAGAAUGUUCACAAAUGGCAAAGAAUCAUUAGAAAUGUAGUGGACGGUAGUGAUUAAACUCACAUACCCCUCUUCUGUAUUUCCAGGCAUGGACAGCUACAACCAUACUAUGGUGUUUUACCUAUUUCAGUAUUUCAGUGCAAUUUUGUGCAUAGCUAAUUCUAAGUAAAAUAUUUUAAAAGAAAGUUACUUUGAUGAUUAAUCGAGGCUCCACAGUGCCAUCUGCUGCUCACAUUCUGAUAAUGCAUUGGGCUUCUUUCACUUUUUCAAAGCCUGGUUGAAUAAUGAUGUUUGAAUGUUGUACUUGCUGAAUGUUGCAUCUGCGUCCUAAACUUUGUAUUUAUGAUUUUUGCAUAAUCUGUACAUAUAAUAAGUCACAUUAAUGUUCAGACAAGGCAGCUCUGCUCCAAUCCUCCUGGCCCUACACUAUUGGAACUAAAUUCUGCAUCUGAGCCUGGACCAUUUGUUUUCUAGCUAGUUAAAAUGAAAAACAAAUUAAUCCGCAAGUUGUUGAUUAAGGUACUUCAAUAUGAUUUUUACCCUCCUAACAGUUGCAAGAACUGUGCCAUCAAUUUAAGUAAUACUGGAAGUUUAAGUAUACUGGGAAUUCUGGAAGUUCUCUGUGACCAAUGAUAAUUACUGCAGAGAUCAUAAAGGGUCAGCAGGGGCUCAAGCUUUUGUUCCUACUACGCAAUAACAUACCUGGCUCAACUGAUCAAGUUCUAACUUAAAAUACAUACAGUAAUUCAUUUUUGUCUCCUGUGGGAAACAUGAGUCCCCAAAGGAUAUCUCAAAAACCAUAUACAUACUGAUAUGCCAUAACUUUAUGAUCACCUCUUUGUUUCUACACUCAUUGUCUUACUAUAUCACCUACCACUUACUAUAUAGGUGCACUUUGUAGUUCUAUAAUUACAGACUGUAGUCCCUCUGUUUCUCUGUAUACUUUGUUAGCCCCCUUUUACCCUGUUCUUCAGUGGUCAGGACACCCCAUGGACCCUCACAGAGCAGGUACUAUUUGGGUGGUGGAUCAUUCAGCACUGCAGUAACAUUGAUGUGGUGGUGGUGUGUUAGUGUCUGUUGUGCUGGUACGAGUGGACCAGACACAGCAGUGCUGCUGAAGUUUUUGAACACUUUGUCCACUCACUGUCCACUCUAUUAGACACUCCUACCUUGUCAGUCCACCUUGUUGAUGUAAAGUCAGAUAUGAUUGCUCAUCUGUUGCCACACAGUUUGUGUUGGUCAUCCUCUAGUCCAAGGUCCAGUUAGAGAAAAUUUCCUCUGGCAAAGGUUUGGAACACCAUGUCUAACGUGCAUCAUGAUUCAGUGCCAUAUACUGUAUACUGAGGUAGCCUAGAACUUAUAUAAACAUUGUCAACAACUGAAUUUCAAAUCAAAUAAAGUGCAAUUCAGUCAUAUUUCAACAAUAUUUUUUGUCAAUAUUUUCUUUUUAGAGUGCGCCAUGUGAAAAAACUUCCCUCUGACACACUUUCUUCUCUGACAGCUGUAACUCACCUUGUCCCUCCCCUGUGUGAGCCUCACUCACUCAAAUCUCAGUGCUCAUUAUGAUGCACAGAUAUGACUGGCUGAGUAGCAUCUUGUGUGAUAUUUACAAUGCACGUGAUUGGUCUGUGAGUUUCCCGGACUGCUAAAGCCAUACUGUAAAGGCUAGAAAAGUUUCACUGGUUAAAAUAGGAACACCCUGAUGAAAUUAAAUAAUUUCCCAUAGUUUAUCGGGUAUAGGGCCAGGUAAGCAUAGGACAGCAUCUGAGUCCGGACUCAAACCGCAGUCCACCUGUUAGUGAUCUCUGCUCUAAUCCUUCAUCAGUAGUCACAGGACGCUGGCCACAGAACACUGAUCAACUCAGACCAGCGCAACACGCACUAACACACCACCACCAUAUCAGUGUUACUGCCGUGCUAAGAAGUGGU
Molecule: long non-coding RNA, 5501 nt
Organism: Pygocentrus nattereri (red-bellied piranha)
Lineage: Eukaryota; Metazoa; Chordata; Actinopteri; Characiformes; Serrasalmidae
Source: Ensembl